UACGAAGGGGGCUAGCGUUGCUCGGAAUUACUGGGCGUAAAGCGCACGUAGGCGGAUUGUUAAGUCGGGGGUGAAAUCCUGGAGCUCAACUCCAGAACUGCCUUCGAUACUGGCGAUCUCGAGUUCGGGAGAGGUGAGUGGAACUGCGAGUGUAGAGGUGAAAUUCGUAGAUAUUCGCAAGAACACCAGUGGCGAAGGCGGCUCACUGGCCCGGUACUGACGCUGAGGUGCGAAAGCGUGGGGAGCAAACAGGAU
This 255-nucleotide ribosomal RNA is filed under the name uncultured bacterium. Its description in RNAcentral is "partial 16S ribosomal RNA". It matches the Rfam family "Bacterial small subunit ribosomal RNA", at positions 524 to 778 of the family's 1533-position model. The record is from RNAcentral.